UACGGAGGGUGCGAGCGUUGUCCGGAAUCAUUGGGCGUAAAGGGCGCGUAGGUGGCCCGGUCAGUCUUUGGUGAAAGCGCGGGGCUCAACCCUGCGUCGGCCAGGGAUACUGCCGCGGCUCGAGCACUGUAGAGGCAGGCGGAAUUCCGGGUGUAGCGGUGGAAUGCGUAGAGAUGUGGAGGAACACCAGUGGCGAAGGCGGCUUUCUGGUCAGUAACUGACGCUGAGGCGCGAAAGCGUGGGGAGCAAACAGG
Molecule: ribosomal RNA, 254 nt
Filed under: uncultured bacterium
Lineage: Bacteria
Description: partial 16S ribosomal RNA
Rfam family: Bacterial small subunit ribosomal RNA
Source: RNAcentral